AAGCGCUAGCCACCGUGGGGAGAGGACGUACGCCGCUUCGUCUCCACCUCACAUCACUGAACUCUCCACUCCUCCACAUCCUCCGCCUCCUCCACCUCCUCCCCCCACCCCCCACCACCCCCUUCUGCCACCGGGGGGAGUUGGGGAAGCGAAGUGUUGGGGAAAAAAAGUUAUAAAAAUUCCCAAAAAUUAUAUCGAAGUUUUUUGAGAAUUUUGUUUUUGCGAGGCAGAAAAAAAUUGCUUGUGUUUUUUUUUUUGUGAGAGAGAGAGAGAGAGAGAGAGAGAGAGAGAGAGAGAGAGAGAGAGAGAGAGAGAGAGAGAGAGAGAGAGAGAGAGAGAGAGAGAGAGAGAGAAACUUGUAAUUGUUUUUCUUUCUUUCUUGUUUAAAAGGUAAGGCGAAAAGAAAUUAGAGAUAGAGAAAGAGAAAGAGAGAUAAAGAGAGACAGAGUGAGAAAGAGAGAGAGAGAGAGCAAGAGAGCGAUGUUUUAAGAUAAGAAAAGAAAGAGAAAACAGAGAAAGAAAGAAAGAAAAGAAAGAGAGAGAGAGAGAGAGAGAGAGAGAGAGAGAGAGAGAGAGUGUGUGUGACGAUAAUAUAAACUUUUUGGGAUUAAUACAAGAAAGAAGAAAAAGAGAAUAAGGAAAAAAAGAAAGAGAGAGAAAAAAGAAGAAGAAAGAACACAACAAGAAGAAAGAAGAAUUAGAAGACAAGAAGAUUAAAAACUUUAGAAGAGGGAAAAAAAGAUAAAAGAAGAAAAUAAAGAAGAAGAAGGAAGAAAAAAUACUGGAAUUCACUAAAAAAAUAAAGAAAUAGAGAGAAAUAAUAAAGGAGGAAAGAGAGAAAAGAUAACAAGUGAAUAAGAAGAAAACAAAGAAGAAAAGGAAAAGAAGAAAAGAAGAAAAAUACAUUAAUUCAAUCAAAAAGGAGGAAAUAAAGAAAAUAGAGGAAGAAAAAGUAGACAAAAUAUAAGAAAAAAAUGAAUUAAGAGGAAGACAAAGAAGAAAAACGAGGAAGAAAAAGAAGAAAAGAAAAAGUAAGAGAGAGGAAAGAGAAAGAAAGAUAAUAAAGGGAGAAGAAGAAAAAGAGAGGAUGACAAUGAGUGAAUAAGUAGAAAACAAAGAAGAAAAAGAAGAGGAAGAAGAAAAAAGAAGAAAAGGAAGGGAGUGAGUCUGAGGUAAUUAACGAAUUAUAAGAGAGGGGGAAAAAAGGAAAGAAGAAAAACACCUGGAGGAAAAAUAAAGAAGAAAAAAGAGGAAAACAGAGGAAACAGGAGAAAGAGAAAACAAGAGGAAGAGAAAAAUAAGUGAAUGUAAAAAAUAAUUAACAGAGAAAGAGAGAAAGAGAGAAAGUGGGAAAGGAAGAAAGAAAGGAAGAAAAGAAAGAAGGAAGAGGGAAAACCUUGAUAAAAGAAGACAAAAAAUGAAAUAAAUAAUGAUAAUAUAAACGAAAGAGAAAUAGAAAAGAUAAAUGUAGGAAGAGAAAGAGAAAGAGAGAAAGGAGAAGAGAAAGAGAGAAAAAGAGGAGAAAGAAAUUACACAGAGAAGCUUAGAAAGGAAGAAAAGAAAAAAAGAAGAAAAGGAGAGAGGAGAAAAUAAUGAAAGGAAGAUGAAGAAACUGUUGAAUAAAUAAAAAAUAAAAAUAAUAAGAAAGAAAGAAAGAAAGAAAGAAAGAAAGAAAGAAAGAAAGAAAUGGAGUGAUAUUGAGAGAACAAAAGGAGAAAGAGAGAGAGAGAGAUAGAGAAAAGUUUAUUACGACACAAAAAAAGGAAAGACCGAAGAGAGAGAGAGAGAGAGAGAGAGAGAGAGAGAGAGAGAGAGAGAGAGAGAACAUUAAUCAGCUGUUUCUCUCUCUCGACAAUGCACGUGUCUGUCCUCUCCUCCUCUUCCUCCUCCUCCUCCUCUUCCUCCUCCUCCUCCUCCUCCUCCUCUACCAACCUUCCUCCUCCUCUCCAUACCUUCUCCUUCCCCCCCUCUAGUGUCAGUUAAGUUCCCUCCUCCUCCUCCUCCUCCUCCUUCUCCUUAACAAGAAGACAAGGCGAUUAGUGAUUUAGGAGAGAGAGAGAGAGAGAGAGAGAGAGAGAGAGAGAGAGAGAGAGAGAGAGAGAGAGAGAGAGAGAGAGAGAGAGAGAGAGACGCGAACUGGAAUACAAAUUUGAAAGGUAAUUAGAAAGUUAAAAAAAAAGAAAGAGAAAGAGGGAAGAAGAGAAAAAGAGAAAGAAAAAGGGUGAAAGAGGAAAUAAAAAAAACCAAAGAAAAAUAAAAUAAGAAGUAAAGAAAGGAGGUAGAAAGAGAAGAAAAAGAGAGCAAGUGUAAAGAAGAAACAGAAAAAGAAGAGGAAGAAGAAGAAAAGAAGAAAAGGAACAAGAACAAGGAGGAAGAGAAGAAAAGGAGUCUAAAGAAGAAAACGAAAAAAAGAGGAAAUUAGGGAAAGAAGAAAAAGGGAACAGGAAGAAGACAAAAGAAGAAAAUUAACAAGACAAAAAAGGAGAAAGAGAAGAAAAGAAGAAGUUUAAAGGAGCAAACGUAGAAAGAGGAAAAGAAGGAAGGGAAAGAAGAAAAAAGGAACAGGAGGAAGACAAAAGAAAAAAAGGAAGACAAGAGAAGAAAAUUAACAAGACAAAUAAGGAGAAAGAGAAGAAAAGAAGUUUAAAGAAGCAAACGUAGAAAGAGGAAAAGAAGGAAGGAAAAGAAGAAAACAAUAACAGGAAGACAAAAGAAGAAAAAGGAACGAGACGAACAAAAGAGAACUGUCUCCUGCAAUUUGAAUAGAAAACGAAGAAAAACAAACGAGAGGAGAGAAGAAAAAAACACGAAGAAAAGAAGAAAAAUAAGAACAAUGAAAAAUAAAUAAAAAAAGAAGAAAAGAAAGAAAAAACAACAGAUAAACAGGACACAAGAAAAUAAGAAAAAAACAAAGAAAAAAGAAGAAAACAGAGAGAGAAGAAAAGAGAGAGAGAGGAAAGAUUUGAUUUAUUGAGAAAGAAAGAGAAAAAGAAGACAAAA
Eriocheir sinensis (Chinese mitten crab) is the source of this 3000-nucleotide long non-coding RNA. RefSeq lists it as uncharacterized. The record is from RefSeq and is a predicted model, not a curated record. Lineage: Eukaryota; Metazoa; Arthropoda; Malacostraca; Decapoda; Varunidae. The transcript has 2 exons.